This 522-nucleotide ribosomal RNA is filed under the name Triticum aestivum (bread wheat). RNAcentral describes it as "partial small subunit ribosomal RNA". Lineage: Eukaryota; Viridiplantae; Streptophyta; Magnoliopsida; Poales; Poaceae. The record is from RNAcentral.
AUGGACUCUGGACUCUACACCCAAACAACCCUCGUCUCCUGUCUAGCCUCCCCUCACUCGCUUGCCAUUACCAAUGUUUAUGCUCCUACCGACCACGCGCUCAAGCAGGAAUUCCUGUCAGAGCUCGCUACCUUUGCCCCCUCUCCUCCCACACCUUGGCUAAUCUUGGGUGAUUUCAAUCUCCUAAGACUUCCCUCGGACAAAAACACGAGUAAUUUCAGGCAGUCCGAAGCAGACAUGUUCAAUUCCUUUAUUAACCAGAGGGCGCUGAUUGAGCUUCCCCUUCCAGAUAGAUGCUACACUUGGUCUAGCAAAAGAGAUCAACCCACUCUCGAAAAAAUUGACAGAGUUUUCAUCAAUGUGGACUGGGAUCUCCUCUUCCCAAACACCACCAUUUCCUCGCUCACUAGAUUCGUCUCUGACCAUGUUCCCCUGCUGAUCACUAUAGAUACCGUCAUCCCUCGCCCGCGCUUUUCCGUUUCGAGCUUAGAUGGACCACUAGGCCGACCUGUCUUAUGGUAG